RNAcentral lists this transfer RNA (67 nucleotides) under Marmota monax (woodchuck). RNAcentral describes it as "tRNA.Ala". It matches the Rfam family "tRNA". Rfam says of the family: Transfer RNA (tRNA) molecules are approximately 80 nucleotides in length. Their secondary structure includes four short double-helical elements and three loops (D, anti-codon, and T loops). The record is from RNAcentral. Lineage: Eukaryota; Metazoa; Chordata; Mammalia; Rodentia; Sciuridae.
GGUUGUGGCUCAGUGGUAGAGUGCUUGCCUAGCAUGUGUGAGGCACUGGGUUCAAUACCCAGCACCA